AGCACUUCUCUCUCCUGCCACCACAUGAAGAAAGACAUGUUUGCUUCCCCUUCCGCCAUGAGUGGCCUCUCAGCUUGUGGCAUGAUUCACUGAAAUACAUCAAACAUGACAGAAGAUGCAAGCAUUUGGAAACUUACAUCAGCCAUCAUCAAAUUAAAAAGCCUCAGAGAAAAAUAGAAAACCAGGGACUUCUUCAUACAGAAGACUGCCUUCAUUUUCCACUGCAACCACCAAAGGGAAUUAGGCAUUUCUAUACCAAACAGCACAAUCUGGGAGUCGUAGCUUGGCUCCUUUAUUAACUCCUGUAUCAAUACACAACUGAGAAUCAAGAAUUUAGAUUGCAAAAUUUACUGUGCUCUAAGUGUUCCACAGGCUCUUCUCCCCAAGGUCAGGCUUGCAAGCGGCCCUCAGCUUCUUGUUCUAUGUUGUUCUGCUUUGAAAAUGUCUGUUUGGCCGGGCGCGGUGGCUCACGCCUGUAAUCCCAGCACUUUGGGAGGCCGAGGCGGGAGGAUCACGAGGUCAGGAGAUCGAGACCAUCCUGGCUAACUCUGUGAAAACCCAUCUCUACUAAAAAUAGAAAAAAAAAAUUAGCCGGGCGGGGUGGCGGGCGCCUGUAGUCCCAACCACUCGGGAGGCUGACACAGGAAGAAUGGCGUGAACCCGGGAGGCGGAGCUUGCAGGGAGCCGAGAUCGCGCCACUGCACUCCAGCCUGGGCAACAGAGCGAGACUCCAUCUCAAAAAAAAAAAAAGGAAAGAAAGAAAGAAAGAAAAUCUCAGCUCAACUUUCUUCCAAGGCACAAGUCUUUCUUUCUCACAGUUGCUGUUGACCUUCACUCCUAGUUCACCUUUUCUGCCUCCAGCUCUCCAAGAGACAACAUAUCUCCCUGUUAUCAUUCUGAUAUACCUGCCUAAAUAUGGAUUUUCAGUAGCAAAGCAAUUGCUUUGCUCUGAAUUCAGCCAAAUAGGGGUACUUGGAAGUCAUAGGUAACUGAUAAAGGUGAGGAUGGUUUCAAAAAUUAAAAGAAUGUUCUUCCUGAUAAAAAGAAUGUAUGGUCAUUGUAAAAAAAAAAUCUAACACAAUACAAAAGAAAGGAAAAUAGAAGACCUUUUAUCACAGGACCUAGAGAUAACCACUCUUAAUAUUUUGGUUAAAGUUUUAUAUUCAUUCAUUCGUUCAUUCAUUCAUUUAUUCAUUCCUUCAACAAAUAUUCAUCUGUGUCUACUGGAUACUUAACACUGUUUUAGGCUCAAGGGAUACAUCUAUAAACAAAGUGGAAAAACAAAACACUAGCUGGGCACAGUGGCUCACACCUAUAAUCCCAGCAGUUUAGGAGGCCAA
This 1340-nucleotide long non-coding RNA is filed under the name Homo sapiens (human). RNAcentral's name for it is "non-protein coding lnc-HPRT1-8:4". Lineage: Eukaryota; Metazoa; Chordata; Mammalia; Primates; Hominidae. The record is from RNAcentral.